GGCGUGAUGGCCGAGUGGUUAAGGCGACAGGUUUAAGCUAGUCAUAAAUUUCUGUUGGGGAGACCCGCGCGAGUUCGAACCUCGCUCACGUCA
This is a non-coding RNA of Xylaria telfairii, 93 nucleotides long. The record is from the annotation of a GenBank genome assembly. NCBI's taxonomy places the organism in Eukaryota, Fungi, Ascomycota, Sordariomycetes, Xylariales, Xylariaceae.